AGAACGAACGCUGGCGGCAUGCCUAACACAUGCAAGUCGAACGCUCUUGGGGCUUCGGUUCCAAGGGAGUGGCGCACGGGUGAGUAGCGCGUGGGAACCUGCCCUGUUGUGGGGGAUAACCGAGGGAAACUUCGGCUAAUACCGCAUAAGCCGGUUGUCUUGAAAGAGAUGGCCGGGAAAGAUUUAUCGCGACAGGAGGGGCCCGCGUCGGAUUAGCUAGUUGGUGGGGUAACGGCCCACCAAGGCAGUGAUCCGUAGCUGGUCUGAGAGGAUGAUCAGCCACACUGGGACUGAGACACGGCCCAGACUCCUACGGGAGGCAGCAGUGGGGAAUAUUGGACAAUGGGCGCAAGCCUGAUCCAGCAAUGCCGCGUGAGUGAUGAAGGCCUUAGGUUGUAAAGCUCUUUCGCCCGCGACGAUGAUGACGGUAGCGGGAGAAGAACGCCCCGGCUAACUUCGUGCCAGCAGCCGCGGUAA
This 477-nucleotide ribosomal RNA is filed under the name uncultured bacterium. RNAcentral's name for it is "SSU rRNA". It matches the Rfam family "Bacterial small subunit ribosomal RNA", at positions 26 to 523 of the family's 1533-position model. The record is from RNAcentral.